Molecule: transfer RNA, 64 nt
Filed under: Anagonalia melichari
Lineage: Eukaryota; Metazoa; Arthropoda; Insecta; Hemiptera; Cicadellidae
Description: tRNA-Tyr
Source: RNAcentral
AUUAAGAUGUCUGAUUAAAGUAAUAAACUGUAAAUUUAUUUAAGAAUAAAUAAUUCUCUUAAUA